Molecule: transfer RNA, 72 nt
Filed under: Camelus dromedarius (Arabian camel)
Lineage: Eukaryota; Metazoa; Chordata; Mammalia; Artiodactyla; Camelidae
Also listed under: 1 other name
Rfam family: tRNA
About the family: Transfer RNA (tRNA) molecules are approximately 80 nucleotides in length. Their secondary structure includes four short double-helical elements and three loops (D, anti-codon, and T loops).
Source: Rfam by way of RNAcentral
AGAGUAACAGUUCAGUGGUAAAACGCGUGCUGAGCAUUCACGAGGUCCUGGGUUCAAUUCCCAGUACCUCCA